Long non-coding RNA from Chlorocebus sabaeus (green monkey), 1779 nucleotides. RefSeq lists it as uncharacterized. NCBI's taxonomy places the organism in Eukaryota, Metazoa, Chordata, Mammalia, Primates, Cercopithecidae. The record is from RefSeq and is a predicted model, not a curated record.
CUCCAGACCUCGUGAUCUGCCCACGUUGGCCACCCAAAGUGCUGGGAUCAGAGGCGUGAGCCAUCGUGCCCGGCCUGAACUUUGUUUUCAUUGCGAAUUAAUGCACUUGCUCAGACACCUUUAAUAUCAUCUUACUACCAGUACAGUAAAGUUGAGGCUUGGCUGAGCAUUUUAGGGGAAUCGAUAAUUGUCCCUCUGCUUGCCUUUCCUACAAUUCCCCGCACAAACUUCUCUCUCCCUCUCUGAUCUCCUUGGCACCAGCUCCACAUCGUGUAGUGCACCUCCUGCCUCAGUGACUUCAGUCUUGGUGCUUCUCCUGCUUCACAUUUGCCCACUCUGGCUCCAGACCCACAUGAAAGCAGCCUCCAAAAUCCCAGCACCCAGCUCACACCCUUUCUCGGACAAUUUGUAAUCCAAGAAGUGAGGAAGCAAAGACAGGUUUAGAACCUGACCUCAGGACACAGGAAGAGUUCUAACACAGAAGGAGUGCAGAUUACAAGUUAAGCAACUUGGGCUUUAGGAAAGAAGCAUAGAGUUGCACACAACAGUCGGAGUCAGCCAGCAUCACUCAGCAUGUGGAAUGUACCUGUAGAAAGUUUCUGGGUGGGCCCACGUAAACUAUGUUUGCUAUACUGAACAGAGUCUCUGUGCUCAACUGGUUACAAGUUUGACUCAAGGAUUCAAACCCAGGCUGGUUUCAUCCCAUGACAAGAAGAUUGUUAUCUAGAUGGACACGCUGGGACUUCAUCUCAUCCCACAGAAGUUAAGUGUUGAACAAAUAUGGUCAGGUGCUGCCUGUGGAGAUGUCCCCAGCCUCUUGCCAGAGGGAAGGGACUGGAAGUUAGAAUCCAACUGAGAGGGUUGAAUCAGAUGCUUGCUUCAAGUCAAUGCAGCUAGGGGAGCUUGCAAAGCCAGAGUUUGCAACAGAGUGGGCAAAUACUCAGAAGAAAAUACAAAUUUCUGGAGUCAGAGCAGGCCAGGGAGGGGCCAGCAGGCAUCUGGGAUAUCAGAAGCAUUAAAUUAUAGACAACAGAUACAAGACAAUCUGUAGUCAAGGACCGGCGCUGCAAGGCAGGAGAAUAAAGAACAUGAAGGAGAAAGGGCAGCAAGAAUGGGAAAGAGGCCCCACUGUUGUCUUGUGUGCAUCUCUGCAGAAAGACUUUGUCAUAGUCUUUGCAAGGCAGGAGCUACCCUCAGGGCAGUUGGCCUAGACCAGUGCUUCUUACCUAGUGUGCUUUAAGAAAACUAGCAGUGCCUAGGCUGCAUCCCAGUCUAAUUAAACUAACAUUUCCUAGGUGGAGCCGGAUGUCAGUAUUUUUCAAAACUCCCCAGGUGAUUCUCCAGGACUCAGAUGCAUUGCUCCGGCCUUACAAAUUUAGAGUUGGUGAUUGGUGGCACCUGGCAGAAGUGAGGCAUACACAGGGUGGAGAAUCCUGGGAAUCCACUCCCUCAGAACAAUUUCAUCUCAUUAUUUUUUUUAGUAAAUGAGAUGAUACACCCAUUUAUUUUCCAUAAAAAUUAAGAUGGCUGCCCUCAUUAUUUGCUCAUAUGAGAGCUUAGGCCCAGGGUUUAUCAAGUCAUCACGAUUUCUGGAUCCUUCGUUUCAGUUCUCUUUUCAGAGCUGAGUCUUGUCUUUUUUCUCUAGACAGGCUCCACUCCACCCCAAGGCCCAGCAGACUUUGCAGUAUGGAACCAAUAUAGCAUUCCAUUAAUUAUAUUCUGUCUGAAAAUAAUAUAUUCAACACUGAAAAGUGUGAAAAGUAGUCUUUUUUUUUCUUU